This 421-nucleotide ribosomal RNA is filed under the name uncultured bacterium. RNAcentral describes it as "bacterial SSU rRNA". It matches the Rfam family "Bacterial small subunit ribosomal RNA", at positions 29 to 440 of the family's 1533-position model. The record is from RNAcentral.
AAUGAACGCUGGCGGCGCGCCUAAUACAUGCAAGUCGAGCGAGAAGACGUAGCAAUACGUUUGUAAAGCGGCGAACGGGUGAGGAAUACAUGGGUAACCUACCCUCGAGUGGGGAAUAACUAGCCGAAAGGUUAGCUAAUACCGCGUACGCUCCUUGGACUUCGGUUCAGGGAGGAAAGCGAUACCGUGGGUAUCGCGCUCUUGGUUGGGCUCAUGUCCUAUCAGCUUGUUGGCGAGGUAACGGCUCACCAAGGCUUCGACGGGUAGCUGGUCUGAGAGGACGAUCAGCCACACUGGCACUGCGACACGGGCCAGACUCCUACGGGAGGCAGCAGUAAGGAAUAUUGCGCAAUGGGCGAAAGCCUGACGCAGCGACGCCGCGUGGGGGAUGAAGGUCUUCGGAUUGUAAACCCCUUUCGGG